UUACCGCGGCGGCUGGCACCGGUCUUUCCCGCCCCUAUAUACCCGACCUUUUUACAGUCGGUUCAGACUGGACUUUUGAUCCAGACAAGUGGAGUUCCCUGAUCACGACUUCUCGCAUUGUCAAGUUUUCGCGCCUGCUGCACCCCGUA
This 149-nucleotide ribosomal RNA is filed under the name uncultured archaeon. RNAcentral's name for it is "partial 16S ribosomal RNA". The record is from RNAcentral.